CAGCCUGCCCAGUGAUAAAUUCAACGGCCGCGGUACCCUAACCGUGCGAAGGUAGCAUAAUCACUUGUUCUUUAAAUGAGGACUUGUAUCAACGGCAUCACGAGGGUUAAACUGUCUCCUUUUUCCUAUCAGUGAAACUAAUCUCCCCGUGAAGAAGCGGGGAUAAUUCUAUAAGACGAGAAGACCCCAUGGAGCUUUAAACCCAACCACACUCCUCCCUAACUUUACCUUUUAACCCCAGGAUUUUGUGUGUUCUGGUUUUAGGUUGGGGUGACCGCGGAGCAUAAACUAGCCUCCACAAUGAAUAGAUUUUCUCUUUAUCUAAGACUAACACUUCUAAGAAUUAGCACUCUAACAUAAAAUGAUCCGAUAUUCGAUCAACGAACCAAGUUACCCUGGGGAUAACAGCGCAAUCCACUUCAAGAGCCCCUAUCGACAAGUGGGUUUACGACCUCGAUGUUGGAUCAGGGUAUCCUAGUGGUGCAGCAGCUACUAAAGGUUCGUUUGUUCAACGAUUAAAACCCU
Molecule: ribosomal RNA, 525 nt
Filed under: Guibemantis liber
Lineage: Eukaryota; Metazoa; Chordata; Amphibia; Anura; Mantellidae
Description: partial 16S ribosomal RNA
Rfam family: Bacterial large subunit ribosomal RNA
Source: RNAcentral